AGAAGCGGCCGGGGCAGGGACUUGACUGAGCCAAGAGUAUCCCCUGCGGACCGCUCCGCACGCACCGAGUUACAGAGAUUUCCCUCCCCGAGUCCGUGGUUGAGAUUAGAAAUGUUCAAAAAUGUUAUAUGGCUAGUAGAAAAACACAGAGCGGGGGAAAAAAUGCAACUCAGCUACAAGAUUGGAACUAAGAGGCUAUAAAAUAGAGGCCCUCAGCACAAUGAAAUCAGUCUGCUAUAAAAGGCGACACAUGCCAGUUUUUCCUCCCCAAUGGCAGAUGCCACACCCUAAAGCAGACAGAAGGCACUGCAGUCUGUGCAAGGGAAGCACAACACAAAGCAACAACCAUGGUUCAAUUUUUUUAGAUUGCAAAUAAUGUUGAGAUUCCUUUUGCCAUCUUUGCUCAGAUGAUGAGUGGUAGUGUUUGUUAAAUUCAAAUGCUCCUUUCCAAAAGCUCUCAUUGUAUGCAUGAAUUAUGAAUUUAUUAUAAUAUAAUGUAAAAAAGCUCUAAUUGCCAUGCAUAUUAUCUGCUUCAAAAUGAUUGCAUUGAUAUUUGAUAUCGCAAGUGCAUGGUUUCAACUUCAGUUCCAUUUUCGUUGUUUCUUUGAUUUAAUUAUUUUCUAUAAACCAAUGUUGUCCAA
Neopsephotus bourkii (Bourke's parrot) is the source of this 641-nucleotide long non-coding RNA. RefSeq lists it as uncharacterized. The record is from RefSeq and is a predicted model, not a curated record. The transcript is spliced from 3 exons. NCBI's taxonomy places the organism in Eukaryota, Metazoa, Chordata, Aves, Psittaciformes, Psittacidae.